Drosophila virilis is the source of this 340-nucleotide non-coding RNA. The record is from RefSeq and is a predicted model, not a curated record. Lineage: Eukaryota; Metazoa; Arthropoda; Insecta; Diptera; Drosophilidae.
UAGUUUCUUCGUUUGUUAUUUCUUUUAUGGACUGCAAUUGAGUCCUAUGGAAAUAAAGAUUAUUUUCUGACACGAUGUGCUACCGGAGUUCCCCUUGUGAUAGACGACCAAUAAUAGACUGGGUGCGACUAUAGCCGCGAACAAUAAAAGACGUUAAUUAAAGCAUUCCAAAGCAUUUAUUCGGAUGAUUCACCACAAUAAAAUCAAAUCUGAAUCAGAAUGAAAUUUCACAUAGAAAUGUCAAAGUUGGAAGUUAUUAAAGAGGGCAAACACACUUCCAAGGUGAGCUGAGGGGUAUUACCAACGAUAUGAAUCAUUAAAGUUUACGAUAGUACCACAA